RNAcentral lists this ribosomal RNA (469 nucleotides) under uncultured bacterium. RNAcentral's name for it is "bacterial SSU rRNA". It matches the Rfam family "Bacterial small subunit ribosomal RNA", at positions 28 to 507 of the family's 1533-position model. The record is from RNAcentral.
GACGAACGCUUGCGGCGUGCCUAAGAAAUGCAAGUCGAGCGAGGUGAGGGGGCUUGCUCCCGAAGCCUAGCGGCGAACGGUCGCGUAACACGUAAGCAACCUGCCCUAAAGUUGGGGAUAGCCCGCCGAAAGGCGGAUUAAUACCGAAUGUGGACACUAUCUCGCAUGUGUGUAGUGUCUAAAGCAGCGAUGCGCUUUAGGAUGGGCUUGCGGCCUAUCAGCUAGUUGGUGUGGUAACGGCUCACCAAGGCGACGACGGGUAGCUGGUCUGAGAGGAUGGUCAGCCGGACUGGGACUGAGAUACGGCCCAGACUCCUACGGGGGGCAGCAAUUAGGAAUCUUGCGCAAUGGGCGAAAGCCUGACGCAGCGACGCCGCGUGACUGAUGAAGUCUUUCGGGAUGUAAAGGUCUUUUAUGGGGGACGAAGGAUGUGACGGUACCCCAGGAAUAAGCCCCGGCUAACUACGUG